Molecule: ribosomal RNA, 397 nt
Filed under: uncultured bacterium
Lineage: Bacteria
Description: partial 16S ribosomal RNA
Rfam family: Bacterial small subunit ribosomal RNA
Source: RNAcentral
AUACGUAGGGGGCGAGCGUUGUCCGGAAUGAUUGGGCGUAAAGGGCGCGUAGGCGGCGCGGUAAGUCUGGAGUGAAAGUCCUGCUUUCAAGGUGGGAAUUGCUUUGGAUACUGCCGCGCUUGAGUGCAGGAGAGGCUAUCGGAAUUCCCGGUGUCGCGGUGAAAUGCGUAGAGAUCGGGAGGAACACCAGUGGCGAAGGCGGGUAACUGGACUGCAACUGACGCUGAGGCGCGAAAGUGUGGGGAGCAAACAGGAUUAGAUACCCUGGUAGUCCACACUGUAAACGAUGAAUGCUAGGUGUAAGAGGUAUCGACCCCUUUUGUGCCGGAGUCAACACAAUAAGCAUUCCGCCUGGGGAGUACGGCCGCAAGGUUGAAACUCAAAUGAAUUGACGGGG